GCGGGAGUAACUCAGUGGUAGAGUGCGACCUUGCCAAGGUCGAAGUCGUGGGUUCAAAUCCCAUCUCCCGCUCCA
RNAcentral lists this transfer RNA (75 nucleotides) under Acidobacteriota bacterium. Its description in RNAcentral is "Acidobacteria bacterium tRNA-Gly". It matches the Rfam family "tRNA". Rfam says of the family: Transfer RNA (tRNA) molecules are approximately 80 nucleotides in length. Their secondary structure includes four short double-helical elements and three loops (D, anti-codon, and T loops). Further hydrogen bonds mediate the characteristic L-shaped molecular structure. tRNAs have two regions of fundamental functional importance: the anti-codon, which is responsible for specific mRNA codon recognition, and the 3' end, to which the tRNAs corresponding amino acid is attached (by aminoacyl-tRNA synthetases). tRNAs cope with the degeneracy of the genetic code in two manners: having more than one tRNA (with a specific anti-codon) for a particular amino acid; and 'wobble' base-pairing, i.e. permitting non-standard base-pairing at the 3rd anti-codon position. RNAcentral also lists the same sequence under 1 other name. Lineage: Bacteria; Pseudomonadati; Acidobacteriota. The record is from RNAcentral.